AGAUUGAACGCUAGCGGGAUGCUUUACACAUGCAAGUCGAACGGCAGCGCGGACUUCGGUCUGGCGGCGAGUGGCGAACGGGUGAGUAAUAUAUCGGAACGUGCCCAGUAGCGGGGGAUAACUACGCGAAGGCGUGGCUAAUACCGCAUACGCCCUACGGGGGAAAGGGGGGGAUCGCAAGACCUCUCACUAUUGGAGCGGCCGAUAUCAGAUUAGCUAGUUGGUGAGGUAAAGUCGUCACCAACGGACGACGACGUACUCGU
RNAcentral lists this ribosomal RNA (263 nucleotides) under uncultured soil bacterium. Its description in RNAcentral is "partial 16S ribosomal RNA". It matches the Rfam family "Bacterial small subunit ribosomal RNA", at positions 26 to 290 of the family's 1533-position model. The record is from RNAcentral.